UUAUCUGGGUAAUCGAGCAGACAUUUUGUCUGUUAGGAAAGUCCAUGCUAGCACAAGCUGAGAUGCUUGUAGCGUUUGUGCUAAACGAAAAAAUAAGUUUAGGCGUUUGAAGAGAUUCAAGCGACGGCGAAGAAAUGGAUGUAAAAGGCCAAAGUAUUCUAAAAAGUGCCACAGUGACGAAUCACAUAAAAUAUAUGUGAGUGAAACGGGUAAACCCCUCAAGCUAGAAACCCAAAUUAUGGUAGGGGCACGGUCAAAGAAGAAUUCAAUUCAUUUGACUGACAGCUUAAGCUGGAGAUAAAUGAUUACCGGUCUUUUUAAUUAAAGACUACAGAACAUGGCUUAUAAGA
Molecule: RNase P RNA, 350 nt
Filed under: Tenericutes bacterium HGW-Tenericutes-5
Lineage: Bacteria; Bacillati; Mycoplasmatota
Description: RNase P RNA component class B
Rfam family: Bacterial RNase P class B
About the family: Ribonuclease P (RNase P) is a ubiquitous endoribonuclease, found in archaea, bacteria and eukarya as well as chloroplasts and mitochondria. Its best characterised activity is the generation of mature 5'-ends of tRNAs by cleaving the 5'-leader elements of precursor-tRNAs.
Source: RNAcentral